RNAcentral lists this ribosomal RNA (901 nucleotides) under Arthrobacter sp. EGI 80110. RNAcentral describes it as "bacterial SSU rRNA". It matches the Rfam family "Bacterial small subunit ribosomal RNA", at positions 68 to 969 of the family's 1533-position model. Lineage: Bacteria; Bacillati; Actinomycetota; Actinomycetes; Micrococcales; Micrococcaceae. The record is from RNAcentral.
GAUGAACCUCACUUGUGGGGGGAUUAGUGGCGAACGGGUGAGUAACACGUGAGUAACCUGCCCUUGACUCUGGGAUAAGCCUGGGAAACCGGGUCUAAUACUGGAUACGACCUUCCCGCGCAUGCGGUGUUGGUGGAAAGCUUUUGCGGUUUUGGAUGGACUCGCGGCCUAUCAGCUUGUUGGUGGGGUAAUGGCCUACCAAGGCGACGACGGGUAGCCGGCCUGAGAGGGUGACCGGCCACACUGGGACUGAGACACGGCCCAGACUCCUACGGGAGGCAGCAGUGGGGAAUAUUGCACAAUGGGCGCAAGCCUGAUGCAGCGACGCCGCGUGAGGGAUGAAGGCCUUCGGGUUGUAAACCUCUUUCAGUAGGGAAGAAGCCGGCCUUUCGGGGUUGGUGACGGUACCUGCAGAAGAAGCGCCGGCUAACUACGUGCCAGCAGCCGCGGUAAUACGUAGGGCGCAAGCGUUAUCCGGAAUUAUUGGGCGUAAAGAGCUCGUAGGCGGUUUGUCGCGUCUGCCGUGAAAGUCCGGGGCUUAACUCCGGAUCUGCGGUGGGUACGGGCAGACUAGAGUGCAGUAGGGGAGACUGGAAUUCCUGGUGUAGCGGUGAAAUGCGCAGAUAUCAGGAGGAACACCGAUGGCGAAGGCAGGUCUCUGGGCUGUAACUGACGCUGAGGAGCGAAAGCAUGGGGAGCGAACAGGAUUAGAUACCCUGGUAGUCCAUGCCGUAAACGUUGGGCACUAGGUGUGGGGGACAUUCCACGUUUUCCGCGCCGUAGCUAACGCAUUAAGUGCCCCGCCUGGGGAGUACGGCCGCAAGGCUAAAACUCAAAGGAAUUGACGGGGGCCCGCACAAGCGGCGGAGCAUGCGGAUUAAUUCGAUGCAACGCGAAGAAC